AAAAGAGAGCUUGAUUGCAAGACAUACAGGUCGAGCAAGGAUGAAAAUCGGACUUAGUGAUCCGGUGGUUCUGCGUGGAAGGGCCAUCGCUCAACGGAUAAAAGCUACCCUGGGGAUAACAGGCUUAUCUCCCCCAAGAGUCCACAUCGACGGGGAGGUUUGGCACCUCGCUGUCGGCUCAUCACAUCCUGGGGCUGUAGUAGGUCCCAAGGGUUGGGCUGUUCGCCCAUUAAAGUGGUACGCGAGCUGGGUUCAGA
RNAcentral lists this ribosomal RNA (257 nucleotides) under Clostridioides difficile. RNAcentral describes it as "partial 23S ribosomal RNA". It matches the Rfam family "Bacterial large subunit ribosomal RNA", at positions 2359 to 2615 of the family's 2925-position model. The record is from RNAcentral. Lineage: Bacteria; Bacillati; Bacillota; Clostridia; Peptostreptococcales; Peptostreptococcaceae.